CACCCUAAUAUUGGGCGCCUCUGUCUACUAGCAAUUCGAAUCUGUAGCAGCGAUGUCAAGCAUUCGGUGAACUCAAACAUCCAUGUAGGUAAUUGAUUCUGAAAUGUUUAGUUUAACCCUAAUUUAUCUAAUGUCAGCUUAGGUUAUGAUUCUUUAUCAUCAUUGUUAUUAAGUUAGAAAUGAGUGAAAUUGGAAAUGAUGCUGCUGCUGUUGAAAUGGAUUUCACUCUAGAUCGUGGUGUUCAUGUGUUUGGUUCUUAUUGUAAUGGUUAUUACUUAUGGUUUUGUUAUAAUGAUUGUGAUACGAGGUUUCACUGUCUUUGGAACCCAUCCCCUAAAUAAUACAGCAGACAUUCAUCGAAGUGGUGUUCACACAUAGCAUGAAUUUUGAAGAUGACGGUUUGUCAUAAAGAAACAUCUUAGGAACGAAGAUGUAAUCCGUGACAUUACCAUCAGUUACCCCGGGAAAUAUUUGUGCAAAUUGUGCAAAUUGUAGGUUUAUUUGGAAUGGGUGGGGUGGGAAACAUUAGGUUUUGAUGAAUCUCAACAAUGAGUUAGUUGGAAGUAAAAAUGAAGGUGGUUUAUUUUUUACAUUCGGAUGUGGUCUCGAAAGAUCUUGAUUAUUCAAAGAUUUGAAAUAAAUGCCACAUGAUCCUUCACCUUCUUAUCUUUUUCCACAAUGUUGCAAGAAUGGACAAAGGUGACAGCUCCCAACUCCCUGAGUUCUUAUCUCUAGGGCUUCAGAUGAUCAGUGAAGAAGAGCCACUGGCUAACUCAAACAUAUCAGGGGAUGCUAUGAGCAAUUCAAAUACAGAUGACAUGAUGCCUAAUUCAUGUACAAUGGAACCCUUGGCCAAUUCAGAUACGAAGGAACUCGUUGUUGCUUGUCCUAUCAGGAGUUUUGAGAAAAUGAGCCAUCCAGAAGAAGAACAAACUGAUGCAGGGGAUGAAUUGACUAGUACUGGUAGCUUUGCAACUGAGAAGAAUUCGGCAAGCUUGAGAGAUGAGGAUACCUUGUUUGAACAUAAAGCAGAGCCUGUCCAUGUACCUCGAUCAGUUGCAUUAACUAUAACGGCCAAAGAAGGCCUUCCGUCAGUGUUCAAGAGCAGCAACAAUGUCAAAAGAACAGCAGCCGAGAGAAAAAGUAAUAGCCAGGUGAUCACUUGUAUUCUGAUCUCGUGGUAAAUACUGCCUUUUUUUAAGGAGAAAGCUGUAUUCAUUACUAGAUCAGAAUGCAUGUGUUCGAAAAUGGAAGAUGGUAAUAAACCAUAGUUGAUUGUUUUGACACCGAAGAGACUGUAAUCUAGUCCAACAAAAGGUCGAGCAAGAAGCUCUGAGUUGACAUCAAAAUGUAUCUGAGGUCGCCUUAAAAUUUAAGAAAGAAUGUCAAAUUGAGCGCUCAUUCAAAUUGGUUGAACUGUUGGUAGCACAAAGACUGAAAAGUCGGAUCAGGAAUGCUGCAAACUGUGCUCUUUUAUUAGUUCGUCAGUUGCACUCUAUCUUUCCAAUAAUCGGCUUCAGUCAGUUGUCAUCCUCAACGAUGCUUAAUUCCGUCGGAAUAGUAAUUUUGGUUUUUCGAAGAACAUUAAGCUGCUCGUUUUGGUGUAAUUUGAACACAAGGUUACAACCAACUUUGGCAACAAAAGCAUGUCAUAUGUAGUCUUGCUACAAGAAGAUAUCUGCGGAAGAGAUAUUGUGGUUACACGCAUCGCGGCUUAUGCAGUUUGGAGCUCGAGAGUGCAGAAUGCUUUAACCAUCACAAACCAUAUUUGGGUUACUUAAAUUUCAUCCCCAAACAGGUGGCUGUGUUCGGCUGGUAGACUUUUUUCACUGAAGUUCCUGAUUUUUGUAUGUUCAAAAUAAAUUUGAAAGUUUCGUGCAAUACAAAAUGCAGUAGUUUGACAUAGAAGCUUUUGUGUUGUCUGGGCUACCUAACUACUAAUCGACCAGUUAAAGCAAUCCUCAUUGGUCAUCUGUUUAUAUAAAUGUAACGUGUGGUACUACUAAUCUAUAUGUUCUUUAGUCUUAACUAUGUUCGACCUACCAUCAUGCAAGUCAUAAAUAUUAUGUUUUCCUCGUUAAGAUCUUGUUAUUUUGGUUAUGAUCUAGAUAUGUUCUUUUCUUUCCUGUCUGGGUUCCAUUGCAGAUAACUGAACUACGUUUAUCUGUUACGUUUGAUUGUUCUAUCUUCAGCUCCUUGUUUGCACUGAUGUGUACUGAAACAGCAAUUCAAGAAUGUUUUUGAAAA
This is a long non-coding RNA of Papaver somniferum (opium poppy), 2247 nucleotides long. RefSeq lists it as uncharacterized. The record is from RefSeq and is a predicted model, not a curated record. The transcript has 2 exons. Lineage: Eukaryota; Viridiplantae; Streptophyta; Magnoliopsida; Ranunculales; Papaveraceae.